UGGACAGGAGAGCUGUUACUUUCUCUGACUUGCCUGCUUUCUAAUCCCAGAGGCCUCAGUUGUGACCUUGGCAAGCCAUUGGCCAGUUAAGCCAUUAACAUCCUGAUUUGGAAAGUGGGAAAUGCAGUAAUAUUGACCCCUGGAGGUGACAUGUGGACUGGGUGACUUCAUAAAGCAGUGACAAACAGACUGUUUUAGUUUGAGACCCAUUUGUGCUGGAGUUUACUAGAAUUUUCGCUAGACACAAAGCCCUAAGAAGACAAAGACGAGUGAACUUUUCAAUUUCAAACAUUCAGGAGACUGUCACUAGCUACUCAGAAGUCUUCACCAUGAUUCCUCUCUGGAAGCUUGAAGUCCCAACAAUCGGUGCUCCAAGGAUGUCACAGGCCUCUCAGCCAGCCUAUUCGUCUGAUAAAUGUUUGAUAAGCACCUCUCCAUCCCCAAUCAAGAGAGUUGUGAUGCCAUCCUGCACCCAUGGCUCCUUGCUAAAUAAACUCGAUCCAAUGGAAAAAUCUUAGACUGGCUGCCUGUCCAUCUGCAUCCCUCCCAAGUGGAUCCCUCUGCUGCUAGCCUUGAGCAGCAGCAGCAGCAACAUGGGAACAGAAGUUUCAGCAAAUGGGAUCUCAUCAACACUGUGUAGAAGGAACGGAAUUGAGCGCAGAGUCCAUGCUGCCUGCCACACCACUGACAUGCAGCUGAAUGCUGGGUGAACCAGAUGAUGCCACUGGGAGCCAGGCCUGGACUCCAGCAUGUAGGCAGUGGCUCGAGUGUCA
Long non-coding RNA from Ochotona princeps (American pika), 773 nucleotides. RefSeq lists it as uncharacterized. The transcript is spliced from 3 exons. The record is from RefSeq and is a predicted model, not a curated record. NCBI's taxonomy places the organism in Eukaryota, Metazoa, Chordata, Mammalia, Lagomorpha, Ochotonidae.